UGGGCAACCUGCCCUCAGCUCUGGGAUAACUCCAAGAAAUUGGGGCUAAUAUCGGAUAUGACUGCUGACCGCAUGGUCUGAUGGUGGAAAGAUUUAUCGGCUGGGGGAUGGGCCCGCGGCCUAUCAGCUUGUUGGUGGGGUAGUGGCCUACCAAGGCGACGACGGGUAGCCGGCCUGAGAGGGUGACCGGCCACACUGGGACUGAGACACGGCCCAGACUCCUACGGGA
RNAcentral lists this ribosomal RNA (229 nucleotides) under uncultured bacterium. Its description in RNAcentral is "partial 16S ribosomal RNA". It matches the Rfam family "Bacterial small subunit ribosomal RNA", at positions 118 to 346 of the family's 1533-position model. The record is from RNAcentral.